RNAcentral lists this ribosomal RNA (160 nucleotides) under uncultured bacterium. RNAcentral describes it as "partial 16S ribosomal RNA". It matches the Rfam family "Bacterial small subunit ribosomal RNA", at positions 337 to 491 of the family's 1533-position model. The record is from RNAcentral.
UCCUACGGGAGGCAGCAGUGGGGAAUAUUGGACAAUGGGCGAAAGCCUGAUCCAGCAAUGCCGCGUGUGUGAAGAAGGCCUUCGGGUUGUAAAGCACUUUUAUCAGGAACGAAAUCUGCAUGGUUAAUACCCGUGUAGUCUGACGGUACCUGAGAAUAGC